UACGGAGGGUGCAAGCGUUGUUCGGAAUUAUUGGGCGUAAAGGGCGCGUAGGCGGUUGUGAUAGUCAGAUGUGAAAUCCUCCGGCUUAACUGGAGAACUGCAUCUGAAACUUCAUAGCUAGAGUACAGGAGAGGGAAACGGAAUUCCCGGUGUAGAGGUGGAAUUCGUAGAUAUCGGGAGGAACACCAGUGGCGAAGGCGGUUUCCUAGCCUGAUACUGACGCUGAGGCGCGAAAGCGUGGGGAGCAAACAGGAUUAGAUACCCUGGUAGU
This 271-nucleotide ribosomal RNA is filed under the name uncultured prokaryote. RNAcentral describes it as "partial 16S ribosomal RNA". It matches the Rfam family "Bacterial small subunit ribosomal RNA", at positions 524 to 794 of the family's 1533-position model. The record is from RNAcentral.